Molecule: ribosomal RNA, 473 nt
Filed under: uncultured bacterium
Lineage: Bacteria
Description: SSU rRNA
Rfam family: Bacterial small subunit ribosomal RNA
Source: RNAcentral
AGGACGAACGCUGGCGGCGUGCUUAACACAUGCAAGUCGAGCGGAAAGGCCCUUCGGGGUACUCGAGCGGCGAACGGGUGAGUAACACGUGAGCAACCUGCCCUUAGCUCCGGGAUAGCUCCGGGAAACCGGAAUUAAUACCGGAUACGACCACGGCCGACAUCUGCUGUGGUGGAAAGGAUUCCGGCUAAGGAUGGGCUCGCGGCCUAUCAGCUAGUUGGUGGAGUAACGGCCCACCAAGGCGACGACGGGUAGCCGGCCUGAGAGGGCGACCGGCCACACUGGGACUGAGACACGGCCCAGACUCCUACGGGAGGCAGCAGUGGGGAAUAUUGCGCAAUGGGCGAAAGCCUGACGCAGCGACGCCGCGUGGGGAUGAAGGCCUUCGGGUUGUAAACCCCUUUCAGCAGGGACGAAGCGAAAGUGACGGUACCUGCAGAAGAAGCGCCGGCUAACUACGUGCCAGCAGCCGC